AGGAAAACUAGUUAAAUUAGAAUAACGUUGGCUUGUCAGGCCUAUAUUGCCGUGUGGCGUUUUCUUU
RNAcentral lists this transfer RNA (67 nucleotides) under Neotrigonia margaritacea. Its description in RNAcentral is "tRNA-Asp". Lineage: Eukaryota; Metazoa; Mollusca; Bivalvia; Trigoniida; Trigoniidae. The record is from RNAcentral.